Peromyscus eremicus (cactus mouse) is the source of this 726-nucleotide long non-coding RNA. RefSeq lists it as uncharacterized. The transcript is spliced from 3 exons. NCBI's taxonomy places the organism in Eukaryota, Metazoa, Chordata, Mammalia, Rodentia, Cricetidae. The record is from RefSeq and is a predicted model, not a curated record.
AGAUAUAUAGGGAGACUUCAUCUCAAAACACAAAUAAUAGUCGAAGAAGGAGAAUGUAGACACAGCAUCAUUUAUUUCCUGCUAUAUGUCAGGCACUAUAACCAGUGUUUUAAGGAAACAGUCUCCUUCCCACUGGGGAUGUUUGAAGUGUGAAGCCAAGUAGAAGACACUCUACUAAUUACUUAACUCAUGGCUGUGACCAACUACAUGACAAGGAACAACUAACCAAAGGGAAGAAUGGAAUCUAGGAGUGGCUGACUGGUUUGGGCUGUGUUUUUCACAAGGUAGUAAUGCAAAUGUGGCCCAGGGCUGUGGUCAUAUAAAAAGAUCAACUGAGGGCAUCUUGAAGUCACUCACCUGACUGCACACAGGCCUCAAAAGAUCUCUACCAAGAUGACUCAUAUGAAUGUUGGUGGCUUCAGUUCCCUGCUGUGUGGUCUUCUCCCCAGGCUGCCUGAACAUCUGACAUGACUGCCCUCUCCAGCUUGUGCUGCCAUGACACACACGUUGGGUCCAGCUCAAGCGAAGCAAGGAAAAGAGCCUCCGAGAUGACAGUCAUACCCUUCCACAUAUAGCCCCACCUAAGCCCUCACGUGUCUCCAGCCAUUUUGAGGCUCUUCAAUUGAGACCCCAAGCAAUGUCGAACAGAGGCAGGGAUUCUCUGAUGUACCCUGGUACAACUCCUAAUCCAAAUAAUCUUGACAGAAUACGCUGGUCGUCAUUUGC